This 116-nucleotide small nuclear RNA is filed under the name Kryptolebias marmoratus (mangrove rivulus). RNAcentral's name for it is "U5 spliceosomal RNA (ENSKMAG00000017258.1)". It matches the Rfam family "U5 spliceosomal RNA". Rfam says of the family: U5 RNA is a component of both types of known spliceosome. The precise function of this molecule is unknown, though it is known that the 5' loop is required for splice site selection and p220 binding, and that both the 3' stem-loop and the Sm site are important for Sm protein binding and cap methylation. The record is from Rfam by way of RNAcentral. Lineage: Eukaryota; Metazoa; Chordata; Actinopteri; Cyprinodontiformes; Rivulidae.
CUACUCUGGUCUCUCUUCAUUACGCACAAGUCUUUCGCCUUUUACUAAAGACUUCCGUGGAGAGUGACGCAAUGAGUGCAACUUAUUUUUGGCAGGCUCUGCCCUGUUGCAGAGCC